This 670-nucleotide ribosomal RNA is filed under the name Glutinoagger fibulatus. RNAcentral describes it as "LSU rRNA". It matches the Rfam family "Eukaryotic large subunit ribosomal RNA", at positions 72 to 727 of the family's 3401-position model. The record is from RNAcentral. Lineage: Eukaryota; Fungi; Basidiomycota; Agaricomycetes.
GGAUUCCCCUAGUAACUGCGAGUGAAGCGGGAAAAGCUCAAAUUUAAAAUCUGGUAGUCUUUGGCUGCCCGAGUUGUAAUUUAGAGAAGCGUUACCCGCGCUGGACCGUGUAUAAGUCUCCUGGAAGGGAGCAUCAUAGAGGGUGAUAAUCCCGUCUUUGACACGGACUCCCAGGGCUUUGUGGUAUGCUCUCAAAGAGUCGAGUUGUUUGGGAAUGCAGCUCAAAAUGGGUGGUAAAUUCCAUCUAAAGCUAAAUAUUGGCGAGAGACCGAUAGCGAACAAGUACCGUGAGGGAAAGAUGAAAAGAACUUUGGAAAGAGAGUUAAACAGUACGUGAAAUUGCUGAAAGGGAAACGCUUGAAGUCAGUCGCGUCGGCUGGAAAUCAACCUUGCUCCUGCUUGGUGUACUUUCCUGUCGACGGGUCAACAUCAGUUUUGACCGCUGGACAAAGGGCAAGGGAAUGUGGCUCCCCCGGGAGUGUUAUAGCCCUUGCUCAUAUACAGCGGUUGGGACUGAGGAACUCAGCACGCCGCAAGGCAGGGCUUCGGCCACUUUCGUGCUUAGGAUGUUGGCAUAAUGGCUUUAAGCGACCCGUCUUGAAACACGGACCAAGGAGUCUAACAUGCCUGCGAGUAUUUGGGUGGUAAACUCGGAUGCGCAAUGAAAGUG